Molecule: ribosomal RNA, 497 nt
Filed under: uncultured bacterium
Lineage: Bacteria
Description: partial 16S ribosomal RNA
Rfam family: Bacterial small subunit ribosomal RNA
Source: RNAcentral
UAUGCACGCUGGCGGCGUGCCUAAUACAUGCAAGUCGAGCGAACGGACGAGAAGCUUGCUUCUCUGAUGUUAGCGGCGGACGGGUGAGUAACACGUGGAUAACCUACCUAUAAGACUGGGAUAACUUCGGGAAACCGGAACUAAUACCGGAUGAUAUUUUGAACCGCAUGGUUCAAAAGUGAAAGACGGUCUUGCUGUCACUUAUAGAUGGAUCCGCGCUGCAUUAGCUAGUUGGUAAGGUAACGGCUUACCAAGGCAACGAUGCAUAGCCGACCUGAGAGGGUGAUCGGCCACACUGGAACUGAGACACGGUCCAGACUCCUACGGGAGGCAGCAGUAGGGAAUCUUCCGCAAUGGGCGAAAGCCUGACGGAGCAACGCCGCGUGAGUGAUGAAGGUCUUCGGAUCGUAAAACUCUGUUAUUAGGGAAGAACAUAUGUGUAAGUAACUGUGCACAUCUUGACGGUACCUAAUCAGAAAGCCACGGCUAACUACGUG